GAUGAACGCUGGCGGUAUGCUUAACACAUGCAAGUCGAACGGACUCUUCGGAGUUAGUGGCGGACGGGUGAGUAACGCGUGAGAAUCUGGCUUUGGGUUCGGGACAACCACUGGAAACGGUGGCUAAUACCGGAUGUGCCGAGAGGUAAAAGAGAAAUUGCCUGAAGAUGAGCUCGCGUCUGAUUAGCUAGUUGGUGAGGUAAAGGCUCACCAAGGCAGCGAUCAGUAGCUGGUCUGAGAGGAUGACCAGCCACACUGGGACUGAGACACGGCCCAGACUCCUACGGGAGGCAGCAGUGGGGAAUUAUCCGAAAUGGGCGAAAGCCUGACGGAGCAAUACCGCGUGAGGGAAGAAGGCUCUUGGGUUGUAAACCUAUUUUCUUAGGGAAGAACAAAAUGACGGUACCUAAGGAAUCAGCAUCGGCUAACUCCGUG
This 435-nucleotide ribosomal RNA is filed under the name uncultured bacterium. RNAcentral describes it as "partial 16S ribosomal RNA". It matches the Rfam family "Bacterial small subunit ribosomal RNA", at positions 28 to 507 of the family's 1533-position model. The record is from RNAcentral.